Molecule: ribosomal RNA, 1359 nt
Filed under: uncultured bacterium
Lineage: Bacteria
Description: bacterial SSU rRNA
Rfam family: Bacterial small subunit ribosomal RNA
Source: RNAcentral
GAUGAACGCUGGCGGCGUGCUUAACACAUGCAAGUCGAACGAUGAAAGCGGAGCUUGCUCUGCUGGAUUAGUGGCGAACGGGUGAGUAACACGUGAGCAAUCUGCCCCUGACUCUGGAAUAACACUUGGAAACAGGUGCUAAUACCGGAUACGAAGCGUGAAGGCAUCUUCAGCGCUUGGAAAGAUUUAUCGGUCAGGGAUGAGCUCGCGGCCUAUCAGCUAGUUGGUGAGGUAACGGCCCACCAAGGCGACGACGGGUAGCCGGCCUGAGAGGGUGACCGGCCACACUGGGACUGAGACACGGCCCAGACUCCUACGGGAGGCAGCAGUGGGGAAUAUUGCACAAUGGGCGCAAGCCUGAUGCAGCAACGCCGCGUGAGGGACGAAGGCCUUCGGGUUGUAAACCUCUUUUAGCAGGGAAGAAGCGAAAGUGACGGUACCUGCAGAAAAAGCACCGGCUAACUACGUGCCAGCAGCCGCGGUAAUACGUAGGGUGCGAGCGUUAUCCGGAAUUAUUGGGCGUAAAGAGCUCGUAGGCGGUUUGUCGCGUCUGCUGUGAAAACCCGAGGCUCAACCUCGGGCUUGCAGUGGGUACGGGCAGACUAGAGUGCGGUAGGGGAGACUGGAAUUCCUGGUGUAGCGGUGGAAUGCGCAGAUAUCAGGAGGAACACCAAUGGCGAAGGCAGGUCUCUGGGCCGUAACUGACGCUGAGGAGCGAAAGCGUGGGGAGCGAACAGGAUUAGAUACCCUGGUAGUCCACGCCGUAAACGUUGGGCGCUAGAUGUGGGGACCAUUCCACGGUUUCCGUAUCGCAGCUAACGCAUUAAGCGCCCCGCCUGGGGAGUACGGCCGCAAGGCUAAAACUCAAAGGAAUUGACGGGGGCCCGCACAAGCGGCGGAGCAUGCGGAUUAAUUCGAUGCAACGCGAAGAACCUUACCAAGGCAUGACAUGUAGGAGGAAACGGCUAGAAAUAGUCGCCCCGCAAGGUCUCCUACACAGGUGGUGCAUGGUUGUCGUCAGCUCGUGUCGUGAGAUGUUCGGUUAAGUCCGGCAACGAGCGCAACCCUCGUCCUAUGUUGCCAGCGGGUAAUGCCGGGAACUCAUGGGAUACUGCCGUGGUCAACACGGAGGAAGGUGGGGAUGAGGUCAAAUCAUCAUGCCCCUUAAGUCUUGGGCUUCACGCAUGCUACAAUGGCCGAUACAAAGGGCUGCGAUACCGCAAGGUGGAGCGAAUCCCAAAAAGUCGGUCUCAGUUCGGAUUGGGGUCUGCAACUCGACCCCAUGAAGUCGGAGUCGCUAGUAAUCGCAGAUCAGCAACGCUGCGGUGAAUACGUUCCCGGGCCUUGUACACACCGCCC